UGGCGGACGGGUGAGUAACGCGUGGGCAACCCGCCUUACACAGGGGGAUAACACUUAGAAAUAGGUGCUAAAACCGCAUAAGCGCACAGCUUCGCAUGAAGCGGUGUGAAAAACUCCGGUGGUGUAAGAUGGACCCGCGUCUGAUUAGCUUGUUGGCGGGGUAACGGCCCACCAAGGCGACGAUCAGUAGCCGGCCUGAGAGGGCGGACGGCCACAUUGGGACUGAGACACGGCCCAGACUCCUACGGAAGGCAGCAG
RNAcentral lists this ribosomal RNA (258 nucleotides) under uncultured bacterium. RNAcentral describes it as "partial 16S ribosomal RNA". It matches the Rfam family "Bacterial small subunit ribosomal RNA", at positions 96 to 354 of the family's 1533-position model. The record is from RNAcentral.